UACGGAGGGUGCAAGCGUUAUCCGGAUUCACUGGGUUUACAGGGUGCGUAGGUGGGUUGGUAAGUCAGUGGUGAAAUCUCCGAGCUUAACUUGGAAACUGCCAUUGAUACUAUCAGUCUUGAAUAUUGUGGAGGUCAGCGGAAUAUGUCAUGUAGCGGUGAAAUGCUUAGAUAUGACAUAGAACACCAAUUGCGAAGGCAGCUGGCUACACAUAUAUUGACACUGAGGCACGAAAGCGUGGGGAUCAAACAGG
Molecule: ribosomal RNA, 253 nt
Filed under: uncultured bacterium
Lineage: Bacteria
Description: partial 16S ribosomal RNA
Rfam family: Bacterial small subunit ribosomal RNA
Source: RNAcentral